GCACUACUUUAUAAUACAGUCAUGGAGACAAUGAAGAAGAAUAUACUUCUUCUGCUGUUUUACCACUCAGGCCAGGAUGCUGCACAGGCGCUAUGGUAACCUGUGGUAUCCAACUGAGUGUGUCCAUCUGCUAAUGAUCCAUGCAGGCCAUCAUUGUGUGUCAAACAGAGUCAGCAAAACAGACUCGUCUUCCCACCAAACACCACACGGCAAUUAGACCUGACAAUACGCUGACUCCCAGAAUCCCAC
This is a long non-coding RNA of Phyllopteryx taeniolatus (common seadragon), 249 nucleotides long. RefSeq lists it as uncharacterized. The transcript is spliced from 3 exons. NCBI's taxonomy places the organism in Eukaryota, Metazoa, Chordata, Actinopteri, Syngnathiformes, Syngnathidae. The record is from RefSeq and is a predicted model, not a curated record.